CGGGAAGGGAUAAACGCUGAAGGCAUCUAAGCGUGAAGCCCCCCUCAAGAUGAGAUAUCCCAUUCGAAAGAAGUAAGACCCCUUGAAGACGACGAGGUAGAUAGGGCAGGGGUGGAAGUGCCGUAAGGCAUGGAGCUGACUGUUACUAAUCGGUCGAGGGCUUGACCUG
This 169-nucleotide ribosomal RNA is filed under the name Blautia sp. AF34-10. RNAcentral describes it as "partial 23S ribosomal RNA". It matches the Rfam family "Bacterial large subunit ribosomal RNA", at positions 2755 to 2925 of the family's 2925-position model. RNAcentral also lists the same sequence under 1 other name. Lineage: Bacteria; Bacillati; Bacillota; Clostridia; Lachnospirales; Lachnospiraceae. The record is from RNAcentral.